This 1503-nucleotide ribosomal RNA is filed under the name Corynebacterium striatum. RNAcentral's name for it is "partial 23S ribosomal RNA". It matches the Rfam family "Bacterial large subunit ribosomal RNA", at positions 1438 to 2925 of the family's 2925-position model. Lineage: Bacteria; Bacillati; Actinomycetota; Actinomycetes; Mycobacteriales; Corynebacteriaceae. The record is from RNAcentral.
GUGGGGCCUGAUGUGUGGUUCAAGCGAUGGGGUGACACAGUGGGGUAGCCAUGCCGCUUAGUGGAUUGUUGGUGUAAGCGUGUAGGUGAUGGUGUAGGUAAAUCCGCACUUGUUAUGCUGAGACGUGAUGCGUAGCCUUAAUUGGUGAAGUUGGUGAUCCCGUACUGUCGAGAAAAGCCUCUAGCGAUGUAUAUACUCGGCCCGUACCCCAAACCGACACAGGUAGUCAGGUUGAAAAUACUAAGGCGUUCGGGUGAACUGUGGUUAAGGAACUCGGCAAAAUGCCCCCGUAACUUCGGGAGAAGGGGGACCCUAUGGCGUGAACACCCAUUUGCGGUGGGAAGCGUUGUGGGGUCGCAGAGAAUAGAGGGAAGCGACUGUUUAUCAAAAACACAGGUCCAUGCGAAGACGUUAAGUUGAUGUAUAUGGACUGACGCCUGCCCGGUGCUGGAAGGUUAAGAGGACCGGUUAAUCAAGCUUUGCUUGGUGAAGCUGAGAAUUUAAGCCCCAGUAAACGGCGGUGGUAACUAUAACCAUCCUAAGGUAGCGAAAUUCCUUGUCGGGUAAGUUCCGACCUGCACGAAUGGCGUAACGACUUCCCUGCUGUCUCAACCACAGGCCCGGUGAAAUUGCACUACGAGUAAAGAUGCUCGUUACGCGCGGCAGGACGAAAAGACCCCGGGACCUUCACUAUAGCUUGGUAUUGGUGUUCGGUUCGGUUUGUGUAGGAUAGGUGGGAGACUAUGAGGCGUGUGCGCCAGCACGCGUGGAGUCGUUGUUGAAAUACCACUCUGAUCGGAUUGGAUACCUUAACCUUGGCCCAUGAUCUGGGUUGGGGACAGUGCCUGGUGGGUAGUUUAACUGGGGCGGUUGCCUCCCAAAAUGUAACGGAGGCGCCCAAAGGUUCCCUCAGCCUGGUUGGCAAUCAGGUGGUGAGUGUAAGUGCACAAGGGAGCUUGACUGUGAGAGUGACAGCUCGAACAGGGACGAAAGUCGGGACUAGUGAUCCGGCACCUACUUGUGGAUGUGGUGUCGCUCAACGGAUAAAAGGUACCCCGGGGAUAACAGGCUGAUCUUCCCCAAGAGUCCAUAUCGACGGGAUGGUUUGGCACCUCGAUGUCGGCUCGUCGCAUCCUGGGGCUGGAGUAGGUCCCAAGGGUUGGGCUGUUCGCCCAUUAAAGCGGCACGCGAGCUGGGUUCAGAACGUCGUGAGACAGUUCGGUCUCUAUCCGCCGCGCGCGUUGAAACUUGAAGAAGGCUGUCCCUAGUACGAGAGGACCGGGACGGACGUACCUCUAGUGUGCCAGUUGUUCCGCCAGGAGCAUCGCUGGUUGGCUACGUACGGAAGGGAUAACCGCUGAAAGCAUCUAAGCGGGAAGCCUGUUUUAAGAUGAGGUUUCAUUUGAGGUCCCCUAAAGACUAUGGGGUUGAUAGGCCAGACAUGGAAGCACCGCAAGGUGUGGAGUCUACUGGUACUAAUAGACCAAAACAAACACACACGAC